AGGGCGCAUGGCGGAUGCCUUGGCUCUCGGAGGCGAUGAAGGACGUGAUAAGCUGCGAUAAGCUUUGGGGAGGUGCAAAUAACCUUUGAUCCGAAGAUUUCCGAAUGGGACAACCCAAUACCUUGAAGAGGUAUUAUCCUACGAAGUAGGAAGCUAACGCAGGGAACUGAAACAUCUUAGUACCUGCAGGAAAAGAAAAUAAACAAUGAUUCCCCCAGUAGUGGCGAGCGAACGGGGAAUAGCCCAAACCAUUCAUGUUACGGCAUGAAUGGGGUUGUAGGACCACGAUAUUGCAUGAAAGCAACAGAGAGGAAUGUUCUGGAAAGUCCAACCAUAGAGCAUGAAAGUUGCGUACUCGAAUGUUGUCGAAGCAUAGUGGUAUCCUGAGUAGCGCGGAGCACGAGGAAUUCUGCGUGAAUCUGCCGGGACCAUCCGGUAAGGCUAAAUACUCCCGAGAGACCGAUAGUGAACCAGUACUGUGAAGGAAAGGUGAAAAGCACUUCGAACAGAAGAGUGAAAUAGUUCCUGAAACCGUGCGCCUACAAGCGGUCGGAGCAGUGUAAGCUGUGACGGCGUGCCUUUUGCAUAAUGAACCUACGAGUUACCGUUGCCGGCAAGGUUAAGUGUGAUGACACAUGCAGCCGAAGCGAAAGCGAGUCUGAAGAGGGCGUAUAGUCGGUAGUGGUAGACGCGAAACCAAGUGAUCUACCCUUGAGCAGGUUGAAGUCUGGGUAACACCAGAUGGAGGACCGAACCAAUAAGCGUUGAAAAGCUUCUGGAUGACUUGAGGGUAGGGGUGAAAGGCUAAUCAAACUUGGAGAUAGCUCGUACUCCCCGAAAUGCAUUUAGGUGCAGCCUUGGAACUUACUAAUGUGAGGUAGAGCGACUGAUAAGAUGCGAGGGCUUCACCGCCUAUCAAGUCUUGACAAACUCCGAAUGCGCAUUAGUUCCAUUCCAGGAGUGAGGGCAUGGGUGCUAAGGUCCGUGCCCGAGAGGAGAAGAAUCCGGACCACCUGCUAAGGUCCCGAAAUGACAGCUAAGUUAAACUAACGAAGUCAGAUUGCUAAGACAGCUAGGAUGUUGGCUUGGAAGCAGCCAUUCAUUUAAAGAGUGCGUAACAGCUCACUAGUCGAGGAGUCGGGCGUGGAUAAUAAUCGGGUAUCAAGUUGUCUACCGAAGCAGUGGGAUCAUUAAUAUGAUCGGUAGGGGAGCAUUCCAGUCAGCGUCGAAGGCGUACCGUGAGGUAUUCUGGAGCGUCUGGAAAAGCAAAUGUAGGUAUAAGUAACGAUAAAGGGGGCGGGAAACCCCCUCGCCGAAAGACUAAGGUUUCCUGAUCAACGCUAAUCGGAUCAGGGUCAGUCGGGUCCUAAGGCUCAGCCGAACGGCGAUGCCGAUGGCAGAAACGGUUAAUAUUCCGUUACUACCUUCAGGAGUGACGUGGAGACGCAGUAGUGACAGUGCCGCCAUCUGACGGAAUAGAUGGUUGAAGGGUGUAGGAGUCGAUCAUGGCAGGCAAAUCCACCAUGAGAUCCGAACCUGACAGUAUGCCGCGUCCUUCGGGACAAGGCAAUAGUGCGCGUAAGCAUGCUGCCGAGAAAAUCCGCUAAACUUAAUCCUGCAGGUACCCGUACCGCAAACGGACACACGUAGUCGGGAUGAAUAUUCUAAGGCGCUUGAGUGAUUCACGGUUAAGGAACUAGGCAAACUGACCCUGUAACUUCGGGAUAAAGGGUCCCUACCCUUUUAUGGGAGGGCGCAGAGAAUCGGUCCAGGCAACUGUUUAACAAAAACACAGGGCUGUGCCAAAUCGAAAGAUCCAGUAUACAGCCUGACACCUGCCCGGUGCUGGAAGGUUAAGAGGAGAUGUCAUCGAUAAGAGAAGCGUUGAAUUGAAGCCCCAGUAAACGGCGGCCGUAACUAUAACGGUCCUAAGGUAGCGAAAUUCCUUGUCGGGUAAGUUCCGACCUGCACGAAUGGUGUAAUGAUCUGGACACUGUCUCAACCGUGAGCUCAGUGAAAUUGUAGUAUCGGUGAAGAUGCCGAUUACCCGCGAUGGGACGAAAAGACCCCGUGAACCUUUACUAUAGCUUAUCAUUGAAUUUGGGCACGUGAUGUGUAGGAUAGGUCGGAGGCUUUGAAGCAGGUACGCCAGUAUUUGUGGAGCCGCUGUUGAAAUACGACCCUUUAUUUGUUUGGAUUCUAACCCGUGGAUACGGGGACAUUGAUUGGUGGGUAGUUUGACUGGGGUGGUCGCCUCCAAAAGCGUAACGGAGGCUUCUAAAGGUGCCCUCCGGCCGAUUGGUAACCGGCCUUAGAGUGUAAUGGCAUAAGGGCGCUUGACUGGGAGACUAACAAGUCGAUCAGGUAGGAAACUAGAGCAUAGUGAUCCGGUGUUUCCGUAUGGAAGGGACAUCGC
Molecule: ribosomal RNA, 2416 nt
Filed under: mouse gut metagenome
Description: bacterial LSU rRNA
Rfam family: Bacterial large subunit ribosomal RNA
Source: RNAcentral